Molecule: ribosomal RNA, 474 nt
Filed under: uncultured bacterium
Lineage: Bacteria
Description: bacterial SSU rRNA
Rfam family: Bacterial small subunit ribosomal RNA
Source: RNAcentral
AGAGUUUGAUCAUGGCUCAGAGCGAACGUUUGCGGCGGGCCUAACACAUGCAAGUCGAACGGGCUAGCAAUAGUCAGUGGCGCACGGGUGCGUAACACGUGGGUAAUCUGCCCUCGAGCUCGGGAUAACCAGUCGAAAGACUGGCUAAUACCGGAUAUGACCACAAGAUCUGAGGAUCAAGGGGUAAAAGGUUUUUCGCCUGAGGAUGAGCCCAUGUGGGAUUAGCUAGUUGGUGUAGGUAACGGCUCACCAAGGCGACGAUCCCUAACUGGUCUUAGAGGAUGAUCAGUCACACUGGAACUGAGACACGGUCCAGACUCCUACGGGAGGCAGCAGUAGGGAAUAUUGCACAAUGGAGGAAACUCUGAUGCAGCGACGCCGCGUGAGUGAUGAAGGCCUUCGGGUCGUAAAGCUCUGUCGUAUGGGACUAACAAAAUGAAGGUACCAUGCAAGAAAGGAUCGGCUAACUUCGUG